CCUACACGACCGUACCGCAAACCGACACUGGUGCGCGAGAUGAGUAUUCUCAGGCGCUUGAGAGAACUCGGGAGAAGGAACUCGGCAAAUUGACACCGUAACUUCGGAAGAAGGUGUGCCUUUAGUAGGUGAAGUCCCUCGCGGAUGGAGCCCAAUGAGGUUGCAAAGAAUCGGUGGCUGCGACUGUUUAAUAAAAACACAGCACUCUGCAAACACGAAAGUGGACGUAUAGGGUGUGACGCCUGCCCGGUGCUGGAAGAUUAAGUGAUGGGGUGCAAGCUCUUGAUCGAAGUCCCAGUAAACGGCGGCCGUAACUAUAACGGUCCUAAGGUAGCGAAAUUCCUUGUCGGGUAAGUUCCGACCUGCACGAAUGGCGUAACGAUGGCCACACUGUCUCCUCCCGAGACUCAGCGAAGUUGAAAUGUUUGUGAUGAUGCAAUCUCCCCGCGGAAAGACGGAAAGACCCCAUGAACCUUUACUGUAGCUUUGUAUUGGACUUUGAACGGAUCUGUGUAGGAUAGGUGGGAGGCUUUGAAGCCGGGUCGCUAGAUCUGGUGGAGCCAACGUUGAAACACCACCCUGGUGCGUUUGAGGUUCUAACCUAGGCCCGUUAUCCGGGCCGGGGACAGUGCAUGGUAGGCAGUUUGACUGGGGCGGUCUCCUCCCAAAGCGUAACGGAGGAGUUCGAAGGUACGCUAGUUACGGUCGGACAUCGUGACGAUAGUGCAAUGGCAUAAGCGUGCUUAACUGCGAGACUGACAAGUCGAGCAGAUGCGAAAGCAGGACAUAGUGAUCCGGUGGUUCUGUAUGGAAGGGCCAUCGCUCAACGGAUAAAAGGUACUCUGGGGAUAACAGGCUGAUACCGCCCAAGAGUUCAUAUCGACGGCGGUGUUUGGCACCUCGAUGUCGGCUCAUCUCAUCCUGGGGCUGUAGCCGGUCCCAAGGGUAUGGCUGUUCGCCAUUUAAAGAGGUACGUGAGCUGGGUUUAAAACGUCGUGAGACAGUUUGGUCCCUAUCUUCCGUGGGCGCUGCAGAUUUGAGGAAGCCUGCUCCUAGUACGAGAGGACCGGAGUGGACGCACCUCUGGUGUACCUGUUGUCACGCCAGUGGCAUUGCAGGGUAGCUAAGUGCGGAAGAGAUAACCGCUGAAAGCAUCUAAGCGGGAAACUCGUUUCAAGAUGAGAUCUGCCAAGGCCUUGAGCCCCCUGAAGAGUCGUUCUAGACCAGGACGUUGAUAGGUCAGGUGUGGAAGCGCAGUAAUGCGUUAAGCUAACUGAUACUAAUUGCUCGUGCGGCUUGAUCAU
This 1304-nucleotide ribosomal RNA is filed under the name metagenome. RNAcentral describes it as "bacterial LSU rRNA". It matches the Rfam family "Bacterial large subunit ribosomal RNA", at positions 1633 to 2925 of the family's 2925-position model. The record is from RNAcentral.